GCGCCGCCCUCCUGUCGACCCCGGCGACCUCCGGCAACCCGGCGCGCUCGUCCCCCGCCGUCCCCGCGCGCCGCCGGUCGCCGCUGAGACCACCUGCGGCCGCCCAGACCGGUGCGGGCCGAGGUCGGGCCCGCUCGGCUUCCAAGCGCCGCCGCCGCCAACCGAGGGUUGCACCGCCUUCUCCUUGGCCUCCGCCGCCGGUUCGUCGCCACCCCGACCUCCUCCGGCCGCCGCCGCGCCGCCGGGAAGAUCAAACCCGAGAAGGAGUGGGAGGCGUGGAUCUCAGCCGCCGCGCCACCGGUUGCCGCCCGCCGCCGGCCAUCA
This 324-nucleotide long non-coding RNA is filed under the name Ananas comosus (pineapple). Its description in RNAcentral is "long non-coding RNA (ACOM_LNC036059)". The record is from RNAcentral. Lineage: Eukaryota; Viridiplantae; Streptophyta; Magnoliopsida; Poales; Bromeliaceae.